AGCACUUUGUAUGUAUUUGUUCAACUGGUAGACAAGAACAUGAAAGACAGGUGCAAAAAUAAACCCUGUUCUGCAACCAGAACUCAUUGUUCAGUACGAGUUCAGAUCCAGACCAAAGGGAACACC
This is a small nucleolar RNA of Nannospalax galili (Upper Galilee mountains blind mole rat), 126 nucleotides long. Lineage: Eukaryota; Metazoa; Chordata; Mammalia; Rodentia; Spalacidae. The record is from Ensembl.